CUAUAGUUCUACAGAGAAUUAUGGCGGAAGGAG
Molecule: non-coding RNA, 33 nt
Filed under: unclassified sequences
Description: L31-Firmicutes ribosomal protein leader
Rfam family: L31-Firmicutes ribosomal protein leader
Source: RNAcentral